UACGAACUGUGCAAACGUUAUUCGGAUUCACUGGGCUUAAAGGGUGCGUAGGCGGCCAUGUAAGUAGGGUGUGAAAUCCCCCGGCUUAACCGGGGAACUGCGCCCUAACUGUAUGGCUGGAGUGAGAUAGGGGUGUGUGGAACUUCCGGUGGAGCGGUGAAAUGUGUUGAUAUCGGAAGGAACGCCGGUGGCGAAAGCGACACACUGGGUCUCAACUGACGCUGAGGCACGAAAGCCAGGGGAGCGAACGGG
Molecule: ribosomal RNA, 252 nt
Filed under: uncultured bacterium
Lineage: Bacteria
Description: partial 16S ribosomal RNA
Rfam family: Bacterial small subunit ribosomal RNA
Source: RNAcentral